Molecule: ribosomal RNA, 206 nt
Filed under: uncultured bacterium
Lineage: Bacteria
Description: partial 16S ribosomal RNA
Rfam family: Bacterial small subunit ribosomal RNA
Source: RNAcentral
ACGAACGCUGGCGGCGUGCUUAACACAUGCAAGUCGAGCGGUAAGGCCCUUUCGGGGGUACGACGAGCGGCGAACGGGUGAGUAACACGUGGGUGACCUGCCCUCAGCUCUGGGAUAAGCCUGGGAAACCGGGUCUAAUACCGGAUAUGACUCCAUGACGCAUGUUGUGGGGUGGAAAGCCUUGUGCGGCUGAGGAUGGGCCCGCA